This 268-nucleotide ribosomal RNA is filed under the name uncultured prokaryote. RNAcentral describes it as "partial 16S ribosomal RNA". It matches the Rfam family "Bacterial small subunit ribosomal RNA", at positions 526 to 794 of the family's 1533-position model. The record is from RNAcentral.
CGGAGGAUCCGAGCGUUAUCCGGAUUUAUUGGGUUUAAAGGGUGCGCAGGCGGGAGAUUAAGUCGGCGGUGAAAUUUUGCAGCUCAACUGUAAAAGUGCCUUCGAAACUGGUUUCCUUGAGUGUAGAUGAAGUAGGCGGAAUUUGUGGUGUAGCGGUGAAAUGCAUAGAUAUCACGAGGAACUCCGAUUGCGCAGGCAGCUUACUAAACUACUACUGACGCUCAGGCACGAAGGCGUGGGGAUCAAACAGGAUUAGAUACCCGGUAGU